Molecule: ribosomal RNA, 274 nt
Filed under: uncultured bacterium
Lineage: Bacteria
Description: partial 16S ribosomal RNA
Rfam family: Bacterial small subunit ribosomal RNA
Source: RNAcentral
AUACGGAGGGUGCAAGCGUUAUCCGGAAUCAUUGGGUUUAAAGGGUCCGUAGGCGGACUAUUAAGUCAGAGGUGAUAUCCCACAGCUCAACUGUGGAACUGCCUUUGAUACUGGUAGUCUUGAGUUAUAUGGAAGUAGAUAGAAUGUGUAGUGUAGCGGUGAAAUGCAUAGAUAUUACACAGAAUACCGAUUGCGAAGGCAGUCUACUACGUAUAUACUGACGCUAAGGGACGAAAGCGUGGGGAGCGAACAGGAUUAGAAACCCCAGUAGUCC